Molecule: long non-coding RNA, 728 nt
Filed under: Elaeis guineensis (African oil palm)
Lineage: Eukaryota; Viridiplantae; Streptophyta; Magnoliopsida; Arecales; Arecaceae
Description: long non-coding RNA (EGUI_LNC004023)
Source: RNAcentral
ACUCUUAUACAAGAGUUGAGUGGUGAGUUCUUCUUGUAUUGUUGUAUUUUAUUCUCUCAUAGUGAAGCUUGCACGCCCCAUAGAGGUAGGCCUGAAGUCGAUCCAUAUAUUUAUAUUAUAUUUUUUAUUUUACUUUUUCUUUCUUCCUGCUGCAAUACGUGGUACCGGAUCCUACACAACAGACCUGAUGUGACCUGAUGGGAUGGCAUGAUGGCCACACCUGUCGUUCGGCCAGGCUGACGUCUGUGUCAAGAAGUCGGUUGAAUGAGCCCGUUGUGGUAUGAUCCAGUCAUCGAUUUGGGUAGUUGAUAAGGCACCAAGGAAAUAGUCGGCCUCCCGAUGAUGUCGACCUCCUGAUGAUGUCGGCCUCCUCAUGAGGUCGGCCUUCGGAUGACAUCGUGAGAUUGAUCUUCAUAUGACCUCGUAAGGCUGCCCUCCGAUGAUGUCAUGAGGUCGGCCUCUUGAUGAUGUCAGUCUCCUCAUGAGGUUGGCCUCCGGAGGAUGUCGUGAGUUCAGCCUCCGGAUGACCUCGUGAGGCCGGCCUCCUGAUGAUGUCGUGAGGUCAGCCUCCUGAUGAUGUCGGCCUCCUGGUGAGGUCGGCCUCCUGAUGACUUUAUGAGAUCAACCUUCAGAUGAUGUCAGUCUCCUCUUGAGGUCAGCUUUUGGAUGAUCUCAUGAGGUCAACCUCUGGAUGACCUCCAUAUCGACCUCAGUACUCUUAGUUGGUU